Molecule: ribosomal RNA, 497 nt
Filed under: uncultured bacterium
Lineage: Bacteria
Description: partial 16S ribosomal RNA
Rfam family: Bacterial small subunit ribosomal RNA
Source: RNAcentral
GAUGAACGCUGGCGGCGUGCCUAAUACAUGCAAGUCGAGCGCACGGACGAGAAGCUUGCUUCUCUGAUGUUAGCGGCGGACGGGUGAGUAACACGUGGAUAACCUACCUAUAAGACUGGGAUAACUUCGGGAAACCGGAGCUAAUACCGGAUAAUAUUUUGAACCGCAUGGUUCAAAAGUGAAAGACGGUCUUGCUGUCACUUAUAGAUGGAUCCGCGUGGCAUUGGCUAGUUGGUAAGGUAACGGCUUACCAAGGCAACGAUGCAUAGCCGACCUGAGAGGGUGGUCGGCCACCCUGGAGCUGGAACACGGUCCAGACUCCUACGGGAGGCAGCAGUAGGGAAUCUGCCGCAAUGGGCGAAAACCUGGCGGAGCAGCGCCGCGUGAGUGAUGAAGAUCUUCGGAUCGUAAAACUCUGUUAUUAGGGGAGAACAUAUGUGUAAGUAACUGUGCACAUCUUGACGGUACCUAAUCAGAAAGCCACGGCUAACUACGUG